RNAcentral lists this ribosomal RNA (747 nucleotides) under Cercospora beticola. RNAcentral's name for it is "eukaryotic LSU rRNA". It matches the Rfam family "Eukaryotic large subunit ribosomal RNA", at positions 95 to 871 of the family's 3401-position model. Lineage: Eukaryota; Fungi; Ascomycota; Dothideomycetes; Mycosphaerellales; Mycosphaerellaceae. The record is from RNAcentral. RNAcentral also lists the same sequence under 1 other name.
GAAGCGGCAACAGCUCAAAUUUGAAAUCUGGCGCAAGCCCGAGUUGUAAUUUGUAGAGGAUGCUUCUGGGUAGCGACCGAUCUAAGUUCCUUGGAACAGGACGUCAUAGAGGGUGAGAAUCCCGUAUGUGACCGGCCCGCACCCUUUACGUAGCUCCUUCGACGAGUCGAGUUGUUUGGGAAUGCAGCUCUAAAUGGGAGGUAAAUUUCUUCUAAAGCUAAAUACCGGCCAGAGACCGAUAGCGCACAAGUAGAGUGAUCGAAAGAUGAAAAGUACUUUGGAAAGAGAGUUAAAAAGCACGUGAAAUUGUUGAAAGGGAAGCGCCUGCAACCAGACUUCGCGGCAGUGUUCCGCCGGUCUUCUGACCGGUUCAUUCUCUGUCGCGAGGCCAUCAUCGUCUGGGCCCGCCGGAUAAGACCUGAGGAAUGUGGCUCCCCCUCGGGGGAGUGUUAUAGCCUCUGGUGAUGCGGCGUGGCUCGGGCGAGGUCCGCGCUUCGGCAAGGAUGAUGGCGUAAUGGUUGUCGGCGGCCCGUCUUGAAACACGGACCAAGGAGUCUAACAUCUAUGCGAGUGUUCGGGUGUCAAACCCCUACGCGUAAUGAAAGUGAACGGAGGUGGGAACCGCAAGGUGCACCAUCGACCGAUCCUGAUGUCCUCGGAUGGAUUUGAGUAAGAGCAUAGCUGUUGGGACCCGAAAGAUGGUGAACUAUGCCUGAAUAGGGUGAAGCCAGAGGAAACUCUGGUGGA